This is a long non-coding RNA of Malaclemys terrapin pileata, 1028 nucleotides long. RefSeq lists it as uncharacterized. NCBI's taxonomy places the organism in Eukaryota, Metazoa, Chordata, Testudines, Emydidae. The transcript is spliced from 4 exons. The record is from RefSeq and is a predicted model, not a curated record.
GCGAGCCUGCGGGGUAAUAUAAUACCUCAGCGCUGCUAAGGGAGGGGAUCUACCCCGCCAGGCAAGGAGCGGAUACGGCCAGGUGUCAAAGCUGCUGGGAGACAGACUCAUCACACCAUGGCAGUCACGGCUCCAGGCACGUUAGGGGAAGCAUGGUCCGGGAAGUAGUGAGGGCCAGUCACAGCAGCCAUCUUAGCAAGGGGGGGUGGACACCCCCAGGAACAUUACUGAAUUUUCAGGCUGUGCCCAGCGUGGAAACAUGAUGGUGGUGGAAGCCAUUCCUUGCAAAGUUGCCAGCUCUCUGACUGAAAGAGGAAAACAAGCUUCCAGUUUUUUUCUACUCCUAAGAAACCACUGAACCUGUUGAAUAAACUGAAAUAAAGAAACUACUCUCUGCACCCACAGAAGAGACUACUGCUGUCAAAAGUUUGCCUCUAUCCAUGUUACUCGGCCUGAUUCCCUCCUCUCGGCCAAGCAGCAGCAAGGGACAAGAAGAGCACAGCUGUCGGGUAAGAAUCAUGACAUUUUCUUUUUGCUAUUGCACAUGGACAACGGGACACAGACUCGGCCAUCGCACAUCAGCUAACAAGAUGAAAGAGAGCAGAGACAUUAUUAUUAGAAUCCCAGCUUUUUACUUCACUCGUUGCCUCACCUGUGCAGUCGACCAUCAGGAUCUCCAUUUCCUCAGAGUGCUGGAGAUCUGGGACAAAUGGCUCUUCCCCUCUUUCCACCUGGGCUAUCAUCUGAGGCUUGGGAAUCGGAAAUCCUGGACAUUGGAAAAGAUAUGUUAACAGCUGGCUAAUGUUUGAGUGCUCGUCACAAAGAAUGGUCAUGAUUUUUAUAAGCCCACAUUGUUUUACUAGAGGCAAGGGUGUAAUCCAAGUAGAGAGAACAUUGUCACGAAUUCUGCUGGAAGAGUAAGUAACUGUUGGGAGAUGUGUUGUAAUCUCUGAAGGAGAAUCAGGGAUCUCUACACCCAGGAAAAUAAGACAACUGACACAGUGUAAAAAAUUAAAUCACUUGCCCAU